Molecule: ribosomal RNA, 516 nt
Filed under: Eucephalobus striatus
Lineage: Eukaryota; Metazoa; Nematoda; Chromadorea; Rhabditida; Cephalobidae
Description: eukaryotic LSU rRNA
Rfam family: Eukaryotic large subunit ribosomal RNA
Source: RNAcentral
UGAAACACGGACCAAGGAGUCUAGCGUAUACGCGAGUCAUUGGGUGGAAAACCCAUAGGCGUAAUGAAAGUGAAGGUCUCUUUCUGAGGCUGAUAUGCGAUCCGUUGCACUACGGUGUAGCGGAGCAGCAUAGCCCCAUCUCGACUGCUUGCAGUGGGGUGGAGGUAGAGCGUAUUCGCUGGUACCCGAAAGAUGGUGAACUAUGCCUGAGCAGGAUGAAGCCAGAGGAAACUCUGGUGGAGGUCCGAAGCGCUUCUGACGUGCAAAUCGAUCGUCUGACUUGGGUAUAGGGGCGAAAGACUAAUCGAACCAUCUAGUAGCUGGUUCCCUCCGAAGUUUCCCCCAGGAUAGCUGGAGCCUGAUAAAUUAGUUAUACUCGGUAAAGCGAACGAUUAGAGGACUUGGGGUCAAAAGACCUUAACCUAUUCUCAAACUCUCAAUGGGUAUGAAGUAUUAGUUGCUUGAUUGAACUAGUACGUUGAAUAUAGGCUCCAAGUGGGCCAUUUUUGGAAAGCA